UACAGAGGUCCCAAGCGUUGUUCGGAUUCACUGGGCGUAAAGGGUGCGUAGGUGGUGAGGUAAGUCGGAUGUGAAAGCUCGGAGCUCAACUCCGAAAUGGCAUUGGAAACUACCUUGCUCGAGGGUUGGAGGGGGGACUGGAAUUCUUGGUGUAGCGGUGAAAUGCGUAGAUAUCAAGAGGAACACCUGCGGCGAAGGCGGGUUGCUGGGCCGACACUGACGCUGAGGCGCGAAAGCUAGGGGAGCGAACGGG
RNAcentral lists this ribosomal RNA (253 nucleotides) under uncultured bacterium. Its description in RNAcentral is "partial 16S ribosomal RNA". It matches the Rfam family "Bacterial small subunit ribosomal RNA", at positions 524 to 776 of the family's 1533-position model. The record is from RNAcentral.